Molecule: ribosomal RNA, 492 nt
Filed under: uncultured bacterium
Lineage: Bacteria
Description: partial 16S ribosomal RNA
Rfam family: Bacterial small subunit ribosomal RNA
Source: RNAcentral
AGUGAACGCUGGCGGUAGGACUAACACAUGCAAGUCGAACGGCAGCACAGUAAGAGCUUGCUCUUACGGGUGGCGAGUGGCGGACGGGUGAGGAAUACAUCGGAAUCUACUUUUUCGUGGGGGAUAACGUAGGGAAACUUACGCUAAUACCGCAUACGACCUACGGGUGAAAGCAGGGGAUCUUCGGACCUUGCGCGAUUGAAUGAGCCGAUGUCGGAUUAGCUAGUUGGCGGGGUAAAGGCCCACCAAGGCGACGAUCCGUAGCUGGUCUGAGAGGAUGAUCAGCCACACUGGAACUGAGACACGGUCCAGACUCCUACGGGAGGCAGCAGUGGGGAAUAUUGGACAAUGGGCGCAAGCCUGAUCCAGCCAUACUGCGUGGGUGAAGAAGGCCUUCGGGUUGUAAAGCCCUUUUGUUGGGAAAGAAAAGCAGCAGGUUAAUACCCCGCUGUUCUGACGGUACCCAAAGAAUAAGCACCGGCUAACUUCGUG